Molecule: long non-coding RNA, 2206 nt
Organism: Spinacia oleracea (spinach)
Lineage: Eukaryota; Viridiplantae; Streptophyta; Magnoliopsida; Caryophyllales; Amaranthaceae
Exons: 2
Source: RefSeq, a predicted model, not a curated record
UAUUGAUUAUCUAUAACCUUUUAAAAAGUGGGAAUGAAAAUUAUUGUAGCUUAUCUACAGUAAAUUAAAACGCAUUGUUUCCUUUUCCCAUGUCAUUUGCACUUCUCUGGUAUCCUGAGUCUUAACUCUCUUCCCUUGAAUAUCUCAUUUUUCUUCCGCCAUGGCUGGAGAGUGGUGACAGCCAGCAAGCAACCGUCGUUUUCACAUCGUCAAUAACUCAUCUUGAAUUUCUCUCUCCUCCCAAACGACGAAUUUGUAAAAUCUUUCUUCUGGGAUGAUCAACUUUGUUGGGUACCAUUACACUCAGCUCAUAGGCUGUUGAUUGAUUCUUCCUUCUUACUAAUUUCAAUUCCAGUAGAUCCAACAAGAAACUUUGCCUUAAAAUCUGCAAAGUAAUUUCGAAAAUUGAUUAUGGGAUGGAAUAAACGAAACCACUCUCGACAAGGAGGCUACAUUGUCAGACUUAUGAUAGCAUAAAACAAUAAAUGAUGUACUUUGUAUAUUGUAAUUGAACACUUCAGUGUAUGCAAUAUCAAUUAAAAACAGAGCAUGAAUUUAACAUUAGCCAUAUAAUGACAAGUUCUUCUUGUAAAUGUACUGUAAAUUGUAGGGAUUUACCUUCAUAGAAGAGCCUAUACAGAAAUUCUUGAUGGCCCAGGUCAAGGCCAGGCCAAGGAGGGGGUUUCAUAAUAGUUUUUAACAAUAAUCGACACACCUGAGGAUCGUUUAUUACCUUGCAUAGGAAUUAGAAAAAAACAAUAGACCUUAUAAGUGAAACAUUCGCAAUGUAAAGUAAGGCUUGAACUGCAAAAUGGAUCGUUGAAAGCCAAUUCCCCUGCAAGUUGAAUUUUAGGCAAUGUCUUGCAGAAUUCUUUAAAACAACAGACAUCCCACUAAAUCAUCAGAAGCCUCACUUAAUCAACUGGUGCAAGGCUACGGAGUUCAGUUCUUGAAUUGCCCUCUUGGGAAUUUGAUUGAGAUAGCUUCCCAGUUUUUUAUGUUGUUUGGUUUUAUUGUUUUGAUGUUCUUGCUGCAAAGUCCUUGUGAAUGUUAAGUUUGUAAAUUCAAAGUUAUAUAUUUUCUUUUUGGUUGUUUUGUUAACAUGGUUGGCUUGAAAAUUACUCCGUGAUUUGUUAUUUGAGCUGGAAGGGAAAGUGAAGUUUUUGUCAGUGUUUUUUUUGUUGUUGUUAUUUUUAAUCUGUCUUGUGCUAAUUUUCUGAUUUUAUGAUUUUUUUUAUAGAUUUUAAGUGAACUAGAUUAUGACAGUAACUAUAUCAACCUUUUGUCAAGUAGAUGUGACAUGUAUAUUGCAUUUCCUACUAUUAAGGAGCUAUAUUUAAUGACAUUGAUUGGAGUUCAGGUAUGGUUUACUAAUUCAGAUCUUUUAAUUAGUUCCUUGAGAGUUGAGACAUUAAAAAUAGAGAAAAGGUAUCAUCCCUUGAAAUAAUUAUAUGAUUAGUUUAUUUCCACAACUAUUUCUUCUUUAUAUGGUUCAUUACAUGAAAAUAAUGAUGGUACUAACGGACUAUUAUACACAUACAUGUUCAUCAUAUCUAUCUCAACCGACAUUGUCCGCAUGUGAUUUUUCAUGAUAAAGCGUGCAAUAGGUUCGACGAGUACUUUGCAAGUUAGAAAAGGUAUAUUGGAGCAACUCUUCUAUAACGGAACCGAAUAGGUAGGAUAGUCUAAAUUAUAGGUUCUCUAAUGGAAGCUAUCUAGCGUAAGAAAUUUAACGAGAAUGUUCACGGAAGCACAAAAGACUUGUUGCAAACCUAUCCAUUAUAAGGUGUUAUAUUGCACAUUUGUACUUGCUUCACCAUGUGCUCUGUUUCAAAUUAAUAUGAAAUCUUAGUGCUACCAAAGGCGAGUAUAGCACUGGUUGUUAUUUUGGCAAAAGAUGAACACGUUGGAGAGUACAAAUCCUAUGCUUUUGUAUCUAUCGAUCUAUCUUUGUACAAAAUAUGUGAUUGUUUUACCUUAUCACUCGAGUGUCCAUUUUGGAUAAUAACUUUCUAAAACAAAACUACUUAUCAUUAAUACGUAGGCGCAUAGAGUUGCUAGAGCAAGAUUGAUGCCAAUCUGCCGCUCCAAGACAUGCCGCGCGCAACGCGCGCGUCCGGCCUACUAGUUUUCUGUAAAAAAUUUAGAGUAUGAUAGAAACAAGAAAGGGGUAAGUUAUCUAUAUCUAUCUAUAUAUAUUAUUAAA